UAUACGAAAGUAAACCCGUGGUAUUGUCAAUAAAAAGCGUCGGUUAUGUUAUUAGAAACCUAGAAAGUUUAUAAUAAUGGCAUGGGUUUUGAUUAUUAUUGAUGAGAUUACUAUUUUUUUUCAGUCUUUAGGAAGGUGGUUUGUUAUUUUGGAGUUAUUGUUAUUUUGAAAUUAAAAUCUAAAUGCAAAGUUAUCAUGAGGAUACAGGUUAUGUUAAUUCCAAAUUCAUAGAUUAAGCCUCCAUUUCAUAUUGUCAUUCUUGGAA
Molecule: long non-coding RNA, 265 nt
Filed under: Lathyrus oleraceus (garden pea)
Lineage: Eukaryota; Viridiplantae; Streptophyta; Magnoliopsida; Fabales; Fabaceae
Description: Pisum sativum (pea) long non-coding RNA (PSAT_LNC040368)
Source: RNAcentral